GACGAACGCUGGCGGCGUGCUUAACACAUGCAAGUCGAACGGAAAGGCCCUGCUUUUGUGGGGUGCUCGAGUGGCGAACGGGUGAGUAACACGUGAGUAACCUGCCCUUGACUUUGGGAUAACUUCAGGAAACUGGGGCUAAUACCGGAUAGGAGCUCCUGCUGCAUGGUGGGGGUUGGAAAGUUUCGGCGGUUGGGGAUGGACUCGCGGCUUAUCAGCUUGUUGGUGGGGUAGUGGCUUACCAAGGCUUUGACGGGUAGCCGGCCUGAGAGGGUGACCGGCAACAUUGGGACUGAGAUACGGCCCAGACUCCUACGGGAGACAGCAGUGGGGAAUAUUGCACAAUGGGCGGAAGCCUGAUGCAGCAACGCCGCGUGCGGGAUGACGGCCUUCGGGUUGUAAACCGCUUUCGCAUGUGACGAAGCGUGAGUGACGGUAAUGGGUAAAGAAGCACCGGCUAACUACGUG
This 468-nucleotide ribosomal RNA is filed under the name uncultured bacterium. RNAcentral's name for it is "partial 16S ribosomal RNA". It matches the Rfam family "Bacterial small subunit ribosomal RNA", at positions 28 to 507 of the family's 1533-position model. The record is from RNAcentral.